Molecule: ribosomal RNA, 253 nt
Filed under: uncultured bacterium
Lineage: Bacteria
Description: partial 16S ribosomal RNA
Rfam family: Bacterial small subunit ribosomal RNA
Source: RNAcentral
UACGUAGGGGGCAAGCGUUGUCCGGAAUCAUUGGGCGUAAAGAGCGUGUAGGCGGCCCGAUAAGUCCGCUGUGAAAGUCCAGGGCUCAACCCUGGAAUGCCGGUGGAUACUGUCGGGCUCGAAUCCGGAAGAGGUGAGUGGAAUUCCUGGUGUAGCGGUGAAAUGCGCAGAUAUCAGGAGGAACACCAAUGGCGAAGGCAGCUCACUGGGACGGUAUUGACGCUGAGACGCGAAAGCGUGGGGAUCAAACAGG